UUAAUUUUUUGUUUCGGUCACU
RNAcentral lists this microRNA (22 nucleotides) under Homo sapiens (human). RNAcentral's name for it is "hsa-miR-4775". The record is from miRBase by way of RNAcentral. Lineage: Eukaryota; Metazoa; Chordata; Mammalia; Primates; Hominidae.